Molecule: ribosomal RNA, 253 nt
Filed under: uncultured bacterium
Lineage: Bacteria
Description: partial 16S ribosomal RNA
Rfam family: Archaeal small subunit ribosomal RNA
Source: RNAcentral
UACCAGCACCCCGAGUGGUCGGGACGAUUAUUGGGCCUAAAGCAUCCGUAGCCGGUCAUGCAAGUCUUCCGUUAAAUCCAGCCGCUCAACGGUUGGGCUGCGGAGGAUACUACGUGGCUAGGAGGCGGGAGAGGCAAGCGGUACUCAGUGGGUAGGGGUAAAAUCCUUUGAUCCAUUGAAGACCACCAGUGGCGAAGGCGAGUCCCUGGACAACUUCUGACGCUGAGGCACGAAAGCUAGGGGAGCAAACAGG